This 713-nucleotide ribosomal RNA is filed under the name soil bacterium Cipr-S1N-M1LLLSSL-2. RNAcentral's name for it is "bacterial SSU rRNA". It matches the Rfam family "Bacterial small subunit ribosomal RNA", at positions 103 to 812 of the family's 1533-position model. The record is from RNAcentral.
CGGGUGAGUAAUGUCUCGGGAACUGCCUGAUGGAGGGGGAUAACUACUGGAAACGGUAGCUAAUACCGAAUAACGUCACAAGACCAAAGAGGGGGACCUUCGGGCCUCUUGCCAUCGGAUGUGCCCAGAUGGGAUUAGCUAGUAGGUGGGGUAAUGGCUCACCUAGGCGACGAUCCCUAGCUGGUCUGAGAGGAUGACCAGCCACACUGGAACUGAGACACGGUCCAGACUCCUACGGGAGGCAGCAGUGGGGAAUAUUGCACAAUGGGCGCAAGCCUGAUGCAGCCAUGCCGCGUGUGUGAAGAAGGCCUUCGGGUUGUAAAGCACUUUCAGCGAGGAGGAAGGUGGUGAACUUAAUACGUUCAUCCAUUGACGUUACUCGCAGAAGAAGCACCGGCUAACUCCGUGCCAGCAGCCGCGGUAAUACGGAGGGUGCAAGCGUUAAUCGGAAUUACUGGGCGUAAAGCGCACGCAGGCGGUUUGUUAAGUCAGAUGUGAAAUCCCCGGGCUCAACCUGGGAACUGCAUUUGAAACUGGCAAGCUAGAGUCUCGUAGAGGGGGGUAGAAUUCCAGGUGUAGCGGUGAAAUGCGUAGAGAUCUGGAGGAAUACCGGUGGCGAAGGCGGCCCCCUGGACGAAGACUGACGCUCAGGUGCGAAAGCGUGCGGAGCAAACAAGAUUAGAUACCCUGGUAGUCCACGCUGUAAACGAUGU